This 510-nucleotide ribosomal RNA is filed under the name uncultured Pseudomonas sp. RNAcentral's name for it is "bacterial SSU rRNA". It matches the Rfam family "Bacterial small subunit ribosomal RNA", at positions 903 to 1382 of the family's 1533-position model. Lineage: Bacteria; Pseudomonadati; Pseudomonadota; Gammaproteobacteria; Pseudomonadales; Pseudomonadaceae. The record is from RNAcentral.
CUAUGCGCCUUGCCACGCCCGCUCAAGAAACUUAAAGGAAUUGACGGGACCCCGCACAAGCGGUGGAUCAUGUUGUUUAAUUCGAUGAUACGCGAAGAACCUUACCAGGUCUUGACAUCCCCCCGCGAUGCUUUAGAGAUAAAGCGGAGGUAUUCGGGGAGACAGGUGGUGCAUGGUUGUCGUCAGCUCGUGUCGUGAGAUGUUGGGUUAAGUCCCGUAACGAGCGCAACCCUUGUCCUUAGUUACCAGCACGUUAUGGUGGGCACUCUAAGGAGACUGCCGGUGACAAACCGGAGGAAGGUGGGGAUGACGUCAAGUCAUCAUGGCCCUUACGGCCUGGGCUACACACGUGCUACAAUGGUCGGUACAAAGGGUUGCCAAGCCGCGAGGUGGAGCUAAUCCCAUAAAACCGAUCGUAGUCCGGAUCGCAGUCUGCAACUCGACUGCGUGAAGUCGGAAUCGCUAGUAAUCGUGAAUCAGAAUGUCACGGUGAAUACGUUCCCGGGCCUU